GACGAACGCUGGCGGCGUGCCUAACACAUGCAAGUGGAGCGACGAACCAGGGCUUGCCCUGGGGCUAAGCCGCGAACGGGUGAGUAACACGUGGGUAACCUGCCCCGAUGAUUGGGACAACCCGAGGAAACUCGGGCUAAUACCGAAUGUGCUCGUGAACCACAAGGUUCACGUGGAAAGGAAGCUUCGGCCUCCGCAUCGGGAUGGGCCCGCGGCCCAUUAGUUUGUUGGUGAGGUAAUGGCUCACCAAGACUUCGAUGGGUAGCUGGUCUGAGAGGACGAUCAGCCACACUGGGACUGAGACACGGCCCAGACUCCUACGGGAGGCAGCAGUGGGGAAUCUUGCACAAUGCGCGAAAGCGUGAUGCAGCAACGCCGCGUGGGGGAAGACGGCCUUCGGGUUGUAAACCCCUUUCAGUUGGGACGAAGCUUCGCCGGUGAAUAGCCGGCCGGAGUGACGGUACCUUCAGAAGAAGCCCCGGCUAACUACGUGCCAGCCGCCGCGGUAACAC
Molecule: ribosomal RNA, 512 nt
Filed under: uncultured bacterium
Lineage: Bacteria
Description: bacterial SSU rRNA
Rfam family: Bacterial small subunit ribosomal RNA
Source: RNAcentral